UUGCUCUCGGGUGACGAGUGGCGGACGGGUGAGUAAUGUCUGGGAAACUGCCUGAUGGAGGGGGAUAACUACUGGAAACGGUAGCUAAUACCGCAUAACGUCGCAAGACCAAAGAGGGGGACCUUCGGGCCUCUUGCCAUCAGAUGUGCCCAGAUGGGAUUAGCUAGUAGGUGGGGUAACGGCUCACCUAGGCGACGAUCCCUAGCUGGUCUGAGAGGAUGACCAGCCACACUGGAACUGAGACACGGUCCAGACUCCUACGGGAGGCAGCAGUGGGGAAUAUUGCACAAUGGGCGCAAGCCUGAUGCAGCCAUGCCGCGUGUAUGAAGAAGGCCUUCGGGUUGUAAAGUACUUUCAGCGGGGAGGAAGGGAGUAAGGUUAAUAACCUUGCUCAUUGACGUUACCCGCAGAAGAAGCACCGGCUAACUCCGUGCCAGCAGCCGCGGUAAUACGGAGGGUGCAAGCGUUAAUCGGAAUUACUGGGCGUAAAGCGCACGCAGGCGGUCU
This 507-nucleotide ribosomal RNA is filed under the name Enterobacter sp. RNAcentral describes it as "bacterial SSU rRNA". It matches the Rfam family "Bacterial small subunit ribosomal RNA", at positions 72 to 581 of the family's 1533-position model. Lineage: Bacteria; Pseudomonadati; Pseudomonadota; Gammaproteobacteria; Enterobacterales; Enterobacteriaceae. The record is from RNAcentral.